Molecule: RNA transcript, 568 nt
Organism: Capsella rubella
Lineage: Eukaryota; Viridiplantae; Streptophyta; Magnoliopsida; Brassicales; Brassicaceae
Exons: 3
Source: RefSeq, a predicted model, not a curated record
GGUACCCUAACCAUUGUUUCUUACCAAUUUGAUCCAAUAAUUUGUCCACUCAUCAAUGUUCAAUCUGAAAACAAAAUCCAAAUUUCGAAAUCAAAUAACCCUAAAAGCUUCUUCAUCCUAGUGUGUUAUCUGGAUCACAUCGAGAUCUUGGAGUCUCUUACAAAUGUCAUCAGUAGGAACAUCAAAGGGGAUUCUUGAAAUCGCCAAGUUCGGUGUAUACGUUGCAGUUCCGAUAGUACUAAUGUAUACAUUCGCCAACAACAGCACCAACAUCAAAAGAUUCAUGGGCGAUCAUUCAUACGUUGUUUAUCUCAAAGAAGCUCCUCGUCCUCCUUCACCUGAAGAGCUAAGAGAGAUGGCUAAAUUGAUCUCAGUCUUUUAUUAGUAAAUUGCAAUGAGAUUCCAAGUAAGGUUUGAGAGCAGAGUGUGAGGUCUUUGUCCAGCUUCUGUUUAGUUAGAAUUGGUGAAAUUUCAUACUUUUUGUUUUGAGAGCAGAUUGGGAUCUUUGUCCAGCUUCUGUGUAGUAGAAUUGAAGGAAUUCAACAUGGUCAAAGGGCUUAAACAGUCG